Molecule: unclassified non-coding RNA, 243 nt
Filed under: Hevea brasiliensis (rubber tree)
Lineage: Eukaryota; Viridiplantae; Streptophyta; Magnoliopsida; Malpighiales; Euphorbiaceae
Source: RNAcentral
AAGCCACUCUUACCUCAUUUUGCUGGUAGAAGAAGAAAGACAGAGAAAGGAAGGAAAAGGAGAGCAGCAACCGACACCUCCAUUUUUUAACCAAAAUUCGAAUCAUUCUUAUCUUCUUCACCAUUUUCUGCAUUUCUUCUAUCGGGUUUUUUAGUUUUAGUUUAUUUUUCGUAUUUUAUUCCUUCUUCUACCUUGAUUUUCUUAUAAUGAAUAUGGAUUAUGAGUAGUUUCUUUUGAUUCAAG